CUAUCUCUUCCGUUGCCAACUUCUUCUUAACUAUGAACUUGGAGGCUUUCUAAACUUAAUAGCAGCACAAAGUCUGACCACUACUGACUACUCAACAACACUCAUCGCAAACUUUACCACGGCAGACUCACACAGGGAUAUGUGUGCAAGUGUUGCGAUGAAUAUUGGACCACUCAACACAACAAAUUCAUCUUUCCUUUAUAUUGGCUCCAUGGCGUCUCUCAGGAUAACUCUCAAUCCUUCAAGAGGCUAUUACGAAAACCUAGUAAUUUUCGUGAAAACCCCUGGCGAAAAUAUCAAUUGACGUUGCAUUGUCUGAUUUUCGUCAUGUAGGCAAUAUGGAGUACGAAGUCCGUUAUGCUUUCUCGCCUCGAUAUGAUAGUACAGCAUUCCAAAGGCAAAAAGGGUGUGGUUAUAAGCUGAUCAGAACAUUUGUGUACUAUUCCAAUUAUUCUGAAAAUCAGCUUAUUUGUGAUUUUUUUGUAUAUCUGCAUAACGCAAAAUCCUUACAAGACAAACAGAAUGUAAGCACGAAUGCGGAGAUUUCGUACACACAGAAUGGCAUU
Molecule: long non-coding RNA, 566 nt
Organism: Saccostrea cuccullata (small rock oyster)
Lineage: Eukaryota; Metazoa; Mollusca; Bivalvia; Ostreida; Ostreidae
Exons: 4
Source: RefSeq, a predicted model, not a curated record